RNAcentral lists this long non-coding RNA (815 nucleotides) under Prunus dulcis (almond). RNAcentral describes it as "sRNA ncRNA". Lineage: Eukaryota; Viridiplantae; Streptophyta; Magnoliopsida; Rosales; Rosaceae. The record is from RNAcentral.
CCAUAAUUGAGAAACCAUCACCCAACUUUUUGAUUAAUGAUAAUCUCAACCAUUAGCUGUUAAAUGGAAUCAUAAUUCUUCAAAUGGUAAAGCUGUCCACUAUAUUCAAGUAAUAAUUUGGGGAAUAAAGUCGCUAUCUAUUUCCCAAUAAAUGAAUAAAUAGAAGUAAUAUUCAAAUAGAUAAUUAAAAAUGGAUAGGUAAACCUCCCAAAGUUUUUUGUCGGACCUUUUAGAGAGACAAUAACAUAUUAAACUCACACAGACUACACAGAUGUUUAGACUCGAACUUAGUAAGUUUCUGAGGGAGCAAUUACUUCAAACCAUUACACUAGCGGAUUCUUUCUCUGCCUCCAAAGUACUUGUUUAACCAAGUUUGCAGAGUAAAUCCCAGCGACGAGGCGAACUUUUUCGAAACUGCCAAGUUUGGAGCGGAUGUAGGAAACUCAAAAGACGAACCAGAACUCGAAGAGGGAGAAAUCUCCGCAGAGCUAACAGGGGAAGAUGAGGGAGGAGAAGGCGGAGAGUCAGCUUCGGGCGUAGUAGGAGCAGCCUUUGGUGGAGCACUCGAUGGAGAAGGGGAAGGUGAAGCCUUAGAUGGAGAGCUAGAUUGAGAAGGCGCAUGUGACUUAGCAGGUGAUGAUGCAUGGGAUUUUUCCGUUGUUGAGGCCAGCAAAAGUAAAGCCAUUAGCACCAAAACAACAUUACUGAAUUGACCCAUUGGAGAGAGAGAGAGAGAGAGAGAGAGAGAGAGAGAGAGAGAGAGAGAGAGAGAGAGACUUAUGGGGCUUUAGGGGGUUUUAAGAGGCAAAUGAAGA